This 871-nucleotide small RNA is filed under the name Pongo abelii (Sumatran orangutan). Its description in RNAcentral is "processed transcript". The record is from RNAcentral. Lineage: Eukaryota; Metazoa; Chordata; Mammalia; Primates; Hominidae.
AGCUCUUUUUAGAUUGUCCUCUUGAGACCUGUUUACAGAGGAAUGGCCAGAGGCCACAGGCACUGCCUCCUGAGACCAUCCACCUGAUGGGAAGAAAGCUAGAAAAGCCCAACCCUGAGAAAAAUGCUUGGGAACACAACAGCCUCACAAUUCCGAGUCCAGCAUGUGCUUCAGAGUCCAGCCUGGAGGUGACUGAUUUAUUGCUCACUGCUUUGGAAAAUCCAGUAAAAUAUGCUGAGGACAAUAUGGAACAAAAGGACACAGACAGAAUUAUUUGUUCAACUAACAUUCUUCAUAAAACUGAUCAGACACUCCGAAGGAUUGUAUCUCAGACAAUGAAGGAAGCAAAAGAUGAACAAGUGCUUCCUCACAACUUGAAGCUUCUAGCAGAAGAACUUAACAAGCUCAAAGCAGAGUUUUUGGAAGACCUAAAACAAGGAAACAAAAAAUAUCUGUGCUUUCAUCAAACCAUUGACAUAUCAGAUGUCAUUUCUUUUUUUCAUUAUGAGAAAGAUAAUAUUGUACAGAAAUAUUUUUCAAAGCAGCAUUAAAAUUUCUGAAUUGCCAAUCAAUGUCUCAUUUUGUAUGAGAACGCAUAUGGGCUUCCAGAUGACGCUCAUAAGCAGAUGCAAAUGGACAAAGAUGACAUCGAUGAGGUUUUUCACCUGUUUCAGAAGAAAAAUGAUGGAGAAACUACAAGAGUAGUUCAUUUAUGGAAAGUUUUGCUUGUCCAUUCAUUGGACAAUUGGAAAUUGAUCAAAAAGAAAAUGCUUUCAGAAAGUCAUAUUUGCAUAGCAUACGAGAUUGUUAAAAUUUGUAAAUAAACACACAAACUGAAAUAAAGCUUAAGAACUCAUCAGCAACAACUUGA